CUUAUAAAAAUAUAUUUUUUCGAACGAUAAUCCUAAAUUUUGAAAAUGUAAAAUCAGUUAUCUAUCUCAAGUAAGCUCCAAACUCUGUUUUUAAGCAGAUAAAACCAUUCUAACAUAAAUCAUAAUAAAAGUAAAAGAUUGUUUCCUAUUGGUCUAUCAGAAAAGGUGCGGAUCGCCCUUUUUAAAAUCUUGGCCAUUGGUAGAUGUUAAUCUAACGGAUCAGGAAGAUUUACGUUAUUAAUUUGUUCAUUGUUUUGUUUUUUCUCUUUCUUACUUCCAUCUCCAUCUCCAUCUCCAUCUUAUGCUUCUAUUCCCUUCACUUCCAUCAAUGAAAAAGGAAAAGGCACAACAAGCAUCGAUCUCGAUCACGUUUUGCUUCUCUCUCUCCGAAACUACCUUCGCCGAUCUGAAGAAGUGGCAGUGUGAUGAACCAAAGGUGUGGCGUAACGAAUCGGUGUCGUGAUGAACCGGUGGUGGUGGCAUGACGAUUCGGUUGCUCAUAUCGUCAUAGCUUUAUCUCGUAACUCUCUCAAGCUCUUCGUCUGAGUCAAGCUCGUCACCCAAGGUUGUUGUUGGUCUCCUCGUUGCCGGAAUCAAGCCUGGCACCGGACUCAAGCUCACAGCCGAUUUCGCCACCGGAUUCAAGCUCACCGCAGAUCUCGGGCUCGAAGUUGUGAUUAUUUUUAUUAUAUUGAAAUUAAUUGUAUUAUAUUUUGUGAUUAAUCAGAUUUUGAAUAACAAAAUAGUUAUUUUUA
Long non-coding RNA from Raphanus sativus (radish), 755 nucleotides. RefSeq lists it as uncharacterized. Lineage: Eukaryota; Viridiplantae; Streptophyta; Magnoliopsida; Brassicales; Brassicaceae. The record is from RefSeq and is a predicted model, not a curated record. The transcript has 2 exons.